Molecule: microRNA, 22 nt
Filed under: Gadus morhua (Atlantic cod)
Lineage: Eukaryota; Metazoa; Chordata; Actinopteri; Gadiformes; Gadidae
Description: gmo-miR-11933-5p
Source: miRBase by way of RNAcentral
UUCUUCUCCAGAGUUGCCGAGG